This 253-nucleotide ribosomal RNA is filed under the name uncultured bacterium. Its description in RNAcentral is "partial 16S ribosomal RNA". It matches the Rfam family "Bacterial small subunit ribosomal RNA", at positions 524 to 776 of the family's 1533-position model. The record is from RNAcentral.
UACGGGGGGGGCAAGCGUUGUUCGGAAUUACUGGGCGUAAAGGGCUCGUAGGCGGCCAACUAAGUCAGACGUGAAAUCCCUCGGCUUAACCGGGGAACUGCGUCUGAUACUGGAUGGCUUGAGAUUGGGAGAGGGAUGCGGAAUUCCAGGUGUAGCGGUGAAAUGCGUAGAUAUUCGGAAGAACACCAGUGGCGAAGGCGGCACACUGGCCCAUUACUGACGCUGAGGCUCGAAAGCGUGGGGAGCAAACAGG